Molecule: ribosomal RNA, 253 nt
Filed under: uncultured bacterium
Lineage: Bacteria
Description: partial 16S ribosomal RNA
Rfam family: Bacterial small subunit ribosomal RNA
Source: RNAcentral
UACGUAGGGUGCAAGCGUUGUCCGGAAUUAUUUGGCGUAAAGAGCUUGUAGGCGGUCUGUCGCGUCUGCUGUGAAAACCUAGGGCUUAACCCUGGGCCUGCAGUGGGUACGGGCAGACUAGAGUGCGGUAGGGGAGACUGGAAUUCCUGGUGUAGCGGUGAAAUGCGCAGAUAUCAGGAGGAACACCGGUGGCGAAGGCGGGUCUCUGGGCCGUAACUGACGCUGAGGAGCGAAAGCAUGGGGAGCGAACAGG